GCGAGAGUGGCGGAAUUGGCAGACGCGCUGGAUUUAGGAUCCAGUCCUUCACGGGGUGGGGGUUCAAAUCCCCCCUUUCGCA
Molecule: transfer RNA, 82 nt
Filed under: Candidatus Zixiibacteriota bacterium
Lineage: Bacteria; Pseudomonadati; Candidatus Zixiibacteriota
Description: tRNA-Leu
Rfam family: tRNA
About the family: Transfer RNA (tRNA) molecules are approximately 80 nucleotides in length.
Source: RNAcentral